This is a long non-coding RNA of Cyprinus carpio (common carp), 651 nucleotides long. The record is from Ensembl. NCBI's taxonomy places the organism in Eukaryota, Metazoa, Chordata, Actinopteri, Cypriniformes, Cyprinidae.
AGCUAGUUGAAGAGAACAAUGACUCAGUGUUCCAGUGUGACUGAGGGACAGUGCGCUGAAGCUUUACUCUCUCUACUCGAGUUGUAUAGAGAGCGCGUGCUUUGAAGUACAGCUGGCUGCAAUACUCAGCCAAUCUGAGCGCGCGACGAGCCGCGUCCGACCAAUGAGCGACGCGACCAUGACAGAAAUACUAAAGCUGCACGUCAAUCAAUGACUGGGGUACUGAUCCCACUGUCAAGCAAUAAGCCAUCAGCUAUUUUUCAUCGUUUUAUAUAUAUAUAUGCAUAUGGCCAUCAAGGCGCGCAAUCUGCACAGACUAUAUAGCUCUCAGCUCAUAUUGAUGUUUAAUAGGCAUCCUCCGAUGAACCUGUCGAUGAAAUGCAAGGAUGCAUCUUGGAGGAAGAGGACGGAGGGGCACCACUGAUCCCACAACAGGAAGUCAGCUCGACACAACAGCGUGCCGCAUCUCAAGGCUUCCUCUUCCGCAUCACUGAGCCAGAUAAAAACACUGAAUCCAGGCACCACCAACGCUGCCAUUUGCCCUCCUUUCAAAAAAUACACACACACACACACACACCUGCCAGGUGUGUGCACUAUGUAAAGGCUUCCUGUCACGCAAUAGUUUUAUGUUCGGCGUUGAGUCAUGACUGA